This 2204-nucleotide long non-coding RNA is filed under the name Lactuca sativa (garden lettuce). RNAcentral's name for it is "long non-coding RNA (LSAT_LNC008482)". The record is from RNAcentral. Lineage: Eukaryota; Viridiplantae; Streptophyta; Magnoliopsida; Asterales; Asteraceae.
ACUUAGUGUAUGAUCAUUAGAGGCUAGAAACAAAUCAAAAGCAAGUAGUUUGAGGAGUUUACGGCCAAGGAACCACCUCUUGGGCCGUAAACUCCAAGUAAAGGGCACAAAUGAGUGCCUAGUGAUCCUUUAGCCUUAGAACAAGAACCUAGAAGCCUUAAACUCAUGUCUUAGACCAACAAAACAAUUAGAAACCAACUUUGGAAGAGAGUUUACAGCCAAGAUGCUCCUUAGGCCGUAAACUCCAAUAUUUAGGGCCAAAAUCCCUUCAAACUCUUCCUAAGGCUUAGUCUUCAUUUUAGGCAAAUACCUUAAAGUGUUUAGGACCUAGAAAACUCAUGAAAAGCUCAAGUGUUGAAGAGUUUACGGCCAAGAGUAUUUCUUGGGCCGUAAACUCCUAUUAAGGGGUCAAAGGACACCCUAGACACUUCCUUAGGCCAAGAGACUUUUAGGGCAAGUACCUAGAUGAGUUUUGGGCUAGUUAAAAUUCUUAGAACCUCAUGUGUGAGGGAGUUUACGGCCCAAAGAGUUCUAUGGCCGUAAACUCCAUCAAAUGGUUCCAUUUAAUGCCAUAAACCUCCCUUGAUCCAAGUAUUGAAGCCUAGACUUGUUCCUAGAAAUGUUAGAGACUUGAAAGGACAAUAAGAACCCUCCCAAGGGAGUUUACGGCCGUAAACUCCAAGGGAGAAGGGUCUUUGGGCCGUAAACUCCCCAAAGGAGUCAAUGUGGUGCCCAAACACUUGUAUAGCCUUGAAACAAUUCCCCUCUAAGGUUGUAGUACUUCUAAACUCCAUUUCAUGACUUGUUUGAGAGUUUACGGCCAGGAGCUUACUCCCCUGGGCCGUAAACUCUAAUGAAUAUGGUCUUUUGACCUUAAACUUUCAUUAGGGGCAUUGCACUUCUUUGUUGCAACCCAUUAGCCUCCUAGCACUUGACCAAAAGUGUUGUCCUCGCGCUUAAAUGUUAUUACUUGUAUAAUUAGUGUUAUAAUCACUAAUUAUUUAUAUACAUAUGUUUCAUAUGUAAUUAGGAUCAUUGUGUGUGUCUAAGUCUUCACUUGACACCAAGCACUUGUCUGAUCCUUCCGUACGAUAACAGCCCGUUCAAUUCCAGUCACAUACUGCAGGUGAGUUCAUACCCCUUAACUGUGACAACCCGAAAUUUUCCAUUCAAAUCAAACCACAUCAAUCCAAUGGAAGUAGAGCAGUUUCAGUGAAAAUUCAAACUUUUGGAAUAAGUUUGGCAGUUUUAGGGUUUUACACCUAAGGAGUUAUUAGGAGAGUGGGUGCACUAGGAUUUUGUGCAACACUGUAAUUCCAUUACUCUAGGUCAUUAGAAUCCAUUCCGAGAAUAGAAAUAUUUUCUGCCAAAAAUCUCUGGACUAUAAAUAGAAUUCUGAACCAAAUUGGUUCAUUAUUUGAUUUCCAUUUAGAGAAAAGCCAAAUACUCUCUCACGGAUCUUCGGGUUUUCAUCCCAGAUUGUGAGUCUACUUCCCUAAAUGUGUUUUAAUACUUGUUAUAUGCUUUAUAACAUUGUUUACAUGUCCAAAACACAAGAUCCGGGAGUUUACCGCCCAAGAACGUUCUUGGGGAGUAAACUCCAAAAUCAAGCCUAAAGGCCACCUAGUCCCAUUUCCGUGUUAGGCAUCUAACUAAGGACUUAGUGUAUGAUCAUUAGAGGCUAGAAACAAAUCAAAAGCAAGUAGUUUGAGGAGUUUACGGCCAAGGAACAACCUCUUGGGCCGUAAACUCCAAGUAAAGGGCACAAAUGAGUGCCUAGUGUUCCUUUAGCCUUAGAACAAGAACCUAGAAGCCUUAAACUCAUGAUUUAGACCCACAAAACAAUUAGAAACCAACUUUGGAAGGGAGUUUACGGCCAAGAUGCUCCUUAGGCCGUAAACUCCAAGAUUAAGUGCCAAAACCACUUCAAACUCUUCCUAAGGCUUAGUCUUCAUUUUUGGCUAGUACCUUAAUGUGUUUAGGACCUAGAAAAAUCAUGAAAAGCUCAAGUGUUGAAGAGUUUACGGCCAAGAGUAUUUCUUGGGCCGUAAACUCCUUUAAAGGGGUCAAAGGACACCCUAGACACUUCCUUAGGCCAAGAGACUUUUAGGGCAAGUACCUAGAUGAGUUUUGGGCUAGUUAAAAUUCUUAGAACCUCAUGUGUGAGGGAGUUUACGGCCCAAAGAGUUCUAUGGCCGUAAACU